AACGAACGCUGGCGGCAUGCCUAACACAUGCAAGUCGAACGGGAUCCUAGCUUGCUAGGUGAGAGUGGCGGACGGGUGAGUAACACGUGGGAAUCUGCCUUUUGGUUCGGGAUAACCGCGGGAAACUGCGGCUAAUACCGAAUGCCCUCGAGAGAGGAAAGAUUUAUCGCCAGAAGAGGAGCCCGCGUCCGAUUAGGUAGUUGGUGGGGUAAAGGCCUACCAAGCCGACGAUCGGUAGCUGGUCUGAGAGGAUGAUCAGCCACACUGGGACUGAGAUACGGCCCAGACUCCUACGGGAGGCAGCAGUGGGGAAUAUUGGACAAUGGGCGAAAGCCUGAUCCAGCAAUGCCGCGUGAGUGAUGAAGGCCUUAGGGUUGUAAAGCUCUUUUACCCGAGAUGAUAAUGACAGUAUCGGGAGAAUAAGCUCCGGCUAACUCCGUGCCAGCAGCCGCGGUAAU
This 458-nucleotide ribosomal RNA is filed under the name uncultured bacterium. Its description in RNAcentral is "bacterial SSU rRNA". It matches the Rfam family "Bacterial small subunit ribosomal RNA", at positions 29 to 524 of the family's 1533-position model. The record is from RNAcentral.